RNAcentral lists this long non-coding RNA (263 nucleotides) under Elaeis guineensis (African oil palm). RNAcentral describes it as "long non-coding RNA (EGUI_LNC031001)". The record is from RNAcentral. Lineage: Eukaryota; Viridiplantae; Streptophyta; Magnoliopsida; Arecales; Arecaceae.
AGUCAGAUCAUACUUAAUUGAGUUUAAUCAUAUUUCAAGAGUUAAAUCAAUUGCAAGUGAUUAAGCCUAGUUCAACAAGGAGGCUAUCCGGAGGCAUCAGGGCCUUCCAUCAGAAUCAAGCUCCAUCUUGAAGUAGAAGAGCCCAAUCAAACAACCAAUGGACCCUACACCUCCUCCUUAUUGGCGCCAUUAGCCUAAAGAAGAAACCAAUGGUGAAGGAUCCAAAAUAGGUAGUUAAUCUCUCUCCUCCAGCCAGCGACCCU